Molecule: ribosomal RNA, 877 nt
Filed under: human gut metagenome
Description: bacterial SSU rRNA
Rfam family: Bacterial small subunit ribosomal RNA
Source: RNAcentral
AGGGUUCGAUUCUGGCUCAGGAUGAACGCUGGCGGCGUGCUUAACACAUGCAAGUCGAACGGGAUCCAUCAGGCUUUGCUUGGUGGUGAGAGUGGCGAACGGGUGAGUAAUGCGUGACCGACCUGCCCCAUGCACCGGAAUAGCUCCUGGAAACGGGUGGUAAUGCCGGAUGCUCCAUCACAUCGCAUGGUGUGUUGGGAAAGCCUUUGCGGCAUGGGAUGGGGUCGCGUCCUAUCAGCUUGAUGGCGGGGUAACGGCCCACCAUGGCUUCGACGGGUAGCCGGCCUGAGAGGGCGACCGGCCACAUUGGGACUGAGAUACGGCCCAGACUCCUACGGGAGGCAGCAGUGGGGAAUAUUGCACAAUGGGCGCAAGCCUGAUGCAGCGACGCCGCGUGAGGGAUGGAGGCCUUCGGGUUGUAAACCUCUUUUGUUAGGGAGCAAGGCACUUUGUGUUGAGUGUACCUUUCGAAUAAGCACCGGCUAACUACGUGCCAGCAGCCGCGGUAAUACGUAGGGUGCAAGCGUUAUCCGGAAUUAUUGGGCGUAAAGGGCUCGUAGGCGGUUCGUCGCGUCCGGUGUGAAAGUCCAUCGCUUAACGGUGGAUCCGCGCCGGGUACGGGCGGGCUUGAGUGCGGUAGGGGAGACUGGAAUUCCCGGUGUAACGGUGGAAUGUGUAGAUAUCGGGAAGAACACCAAUGGCGAAGGCAGGUCUCUGGGCCGUUACUGACGCUGAGGAGCGAAAGCGUGGGGAGCGAACAGGAUUAGAUACCCUGGUAGUCCACGCCGUAAACGGUGGAUGCUGGAUGUGGGGCCCGUUCCACGGGUUCCGUGUCGGAGCUAACGCGUUAAGCAUCCCGCCUGGGGAGUACGGCCGC